Odobenus rosmarus divergens (Pacific walrus) is the source of this 920-nucleotide RNA transcript. RefSeq lists it as uncharacterized. The transcript has 8 exons. The record is from RefSeq and is a predicted model, not a curated record. Lineage: Eukaryota; Metazoa; Chordata; Mammalia; Carnivora; Odobenidae.
AUGUGCGGCAGUCCCCGGCUGGCCUGCUCCACCGCACAGGAAGCGGGUUAAGAGUGCUGCCCUCACCCCACCCAGGAAUGUCUGGUCCCCAGGCCUCGUGCUGGGCACAGGGGACCACAGCCUGUGCUCAAGUUGCUUCCCCUGUAGUAGAGGAGGAAGACAGAAUAGGCCGUGCCAGGGCAGAGUGCCCGGUGUCACAUGAUCACUGCACCAGUUUCUUCCUGACCAACGACUGGAGCUGUCCCCAGAUGAAUGAAUUUUCCUGGAAGGACGUUACCAAUGCCUUGUCCCUGGCCAACCUGAUCCUGGGGCUCUUCUCCAUCUUCUGCAGCUUCUGCAAGAGAUGCCACAGUGCCUCCUGGAUGCUUCUGAUCAGCUUCCUGUUAGACAUGGCAGUUGGGGCGAUAACCAGACACCUCAGCCUCUGCUCCAAGUCAGGAGUGGAGCUGAAUGACUUUGCGAUCUUCACCACCUUUGGCCUGGCCUCAGGCCUGCUCCUCGGUGUGGACGGGCCUCUGAGUGGGUUCCUGGCUGUCAUCUAUGUGUUAGCUGCUACUUUCCGCCUGUGUUUCUAUUCAACUGAUGCUCAGCUCACGUACAGGGGUCUACCCUGCCGCUAUGCUUCCUGUGUCUUAGCCUCCACCUCCCUUCUGACCAAAGGCAACACGUUCAUUCUCUCUUGCAUGGCUUCACUUAUGGUUCUAUUCAUGAUGGACCAGAGCUACUACCCACACGAUGAAAUCCUGGAGUCUGAGAACUGGAAAAAAUUGGUUUAUCUGGGAGGUGCCAUCAUGCUGCUCAUGUCUCCGUUCUCUCUGACUGCGUUUUACUGCCUGUUGUGGUCACUGUCCUACAUCUUCUUUCCAGAUGCUCUGUGGGGCAAAGCAGUGCGCCUCAGGCUACAGUGCCAAGGAAACUAA